Long non-coding RNA from Symphalangus syndactylus (siamang), 660 nucleotides. RefSeq lists it as uncharacterized. The record is from RefSeq and is a predicted model, not a curated record. NCBI's taxonomy places the organism in Eukaryota, Metazoa, Chordata, Mammalia, Primates, Hylobatidae.
CCUAGCAGCUCCCACUCCUUCCUGAUCUUGGCCUGCUUCUGUUCCCCAAAGAAGAGAGACAGCAUGAGCAUCCACCCCAGCCUGUCCCACCUGGGUUUCCAGAGGCUCUUCCCACCCACUGCACACAGGCAGCCGUGUGCUCUUCACUCUGCCCCUCGCCCACUUCCCACCAUGAGAUUUCCUAGGAGAGCUGGUGAGACCAGGACUGCUGCUGAGCCAAAGAGAACCCCCAAGAUACAGGCUUGCUGGCAAAUGCAGCUGCACCUUGUCAGGCUGGAAGCAAAUUCAUCCACAGGCAACCCUUCCAUCUCAAACCUGCAGGCGCAACCAUAGUCUUCAAAGUCUCGGGGGCAGAGACCAGCCACACACUUCAUACCAUUGACAAACUGGAUCAGCACAGGGAAAUUGGUGAAGACAGCCUGCAGCCAGAAAAAAGGCAUGUGAGACGAUCCCUUUGAUCUACACCUUUUUUCUACCUUGAAUGUGGAUGAGGAUGUGCUAGCUGGAGCUGCAGCAACCACAUUAUUAUCAGGAGGCCCCAAGUCUGAAGUUGAAAAACCAAUAUGCUCAGGAUAGCAGUGGAGCAAGAUAGACGGAGCCUGCUGGCUCUUUGACACCUGUGUUGAGCUACUACAUGCAUCCUGGUGCCUUCACACCACU